This 301-nucleotide ribosomal RNA is filed under the name uncultured bacterium. Its description in RNAcentral is "partial 16S ribosomal RNA". It matches the Rfam family "Bacterial small subunit ribosomal RNA", at positions 509 to 807 of the family's 1533-position model. The record is from RNAcentral.
CAGCCGCCACGGUAAAACGGAGGGUGCAAGCGUUAAUCGGAAUUACUGGGCGUAAAGCGCACGCAGGCGGUCUGUCAAGUCGGAUGUGAAAUCCCCGGGCUCAACCUGGGAACUGCAUUCGAAACUGGCAGGCUAGAGUCUUGUAGAGGGGGGUAGAAUUCCAGGUGUAGCGGUGAAAUGCGUAGAGAUCUGGAGGAAUACCGGUGGCGAAGGCGGCCCCCUGGACAAAGACUGACGCUCAGGUGCGAAAGCGUGGGGAGCAAACAGGAUUAGAUACCCGAGUAGUCCUUGUCUCUUAUAC